Molecule: ribosomal RNA, 483 nt
Filed under: uncultured bacterium
Lineage: Bacteria
Description: partial 16S ribosomal RNA
Rfam family: Bacterial small subunit ribosomal RNA
Source: RNAcentral
AUUGAACGCUGGCGGCAUGCUUUACACAUGCAAGUCGAACGGCAGCGCGGGCUUCGGCCUGGCGGCGAGUGGCGAACGGGUGAGUAAUACAUCGGAACGUGCCCAGUAGUGGGGGAUAGCUCGGCGAAAGCCGGAUUAAUACCGCAUACGACCUGAGGGUGAAAGCGGGGGAUCUUCGGACCUCGCGCUAUUGGAGCGGCCGAUGGCAGAUUAGCUAGUUGGUGGGGUAAAGGCCUACCAAGGCGACGAUCUGUAGCUGGUCUGAGAGGACGACCAGCCACACUGGGACUGAGACACGGCCCAGACUCCUACGGGAGGCAGCAGUGGGGAAUUUUGGACAAUGGGCGAAAGCCUGAUCCAGCAAUGCCGCGUGUGUGAUGAAGGCCUUCGGGUUGUAAAGCACUUUUGGCGGGAACGAAAAGGACUGUGCCAAUACCACGGUUCGAUGACGGUACCCGCAGAAGAAGCACCGGCUAACUACGU